Molecule: ribosomal RNA, 440 nt
Filed under: uncultured bacterium
Lineage: Bacteria
Description: partial 16S ribosomal RNA
Rfam family: Bacterial small subunit ribosomal RNA
Source: RNAcentral
ACUACGGGAGGCAGCAGUGGGGGAUAUUGCACAAUGGGGGAAACCCUGAUGCAGCGACGCCGCGUGUGGGAAGACGGUCCUCUGGAUUGUAAACCACUGUCCCCAGGGACGAAGAUGACGGUACCUGGGGAGGAAGCUCCGGCUAACUACGUGCCAGCAGCCGCGGUAAUACGUAGGGAGCGAGCGUUGUCCGGAAGUACUGGGUGUAAAGGGAGCGUAGGCGGGACUGCAAGUUGGGUGUCAAAUCUACCGGCUCAACCGGUAGCCGCACUCAAAACUGCAGUUCUUGAGUGAAGUAGAGGCAGGCGGAAUUCCUAGUGUAGCGGUGAAAUGCGUAGAUAUUAGGAGGAACACCAGUGGCGAAGGCGGCCUGCUGGGCUUUUACUGACGCUGAGGCUCGAAAGUGUGGGGAGCAAACAGGAUUAGAUACCCUUGUAGUC